RNAcentral lists this ribosomal RNA (253 nucleotides) under uncultured bacterium. RNAcentral describes it as "partial 16S ribosomal RNA". It matches the Rfam family "Bacterial small subunit ribosomal RNA", at positions 524 to 776 of the family's 1533-position model. The record is from RNAcentral.
UACGAAGGGUGCAAACGUUGCUCGGAAUUAUUGGGCGUAAAGCGCACGUAGGCGGUAUUGCAAGUCGGAUGUGAAAUCCCUCGGCUUAACCAAGGAAGUGCAUCCGAAACUGCUGUACUUGAGUACGAAAGAGGAUCGCGGAAUUCCCGGUGUAGAGGUGAAAUUCGUAGAGAUCGGGAGGAACACCAGUGGCGAAGGCGGCUACCUGGACCAGCACUGACACUGAAGCACGAAAGCGUGGGGAGCAAACAGG